UCCAAAUAACUACCAGUUUUAGAAUUGUCUUUCUUAAGGCUACAGGUUCCAUUGGAGAGCAAGUAAGUACGUGCUGGGAAUUUAUUAAAACUCCCUUUUUUCCCCUCAGAAAGAUACUAAAACAGAAAGGAGCUUGGAACUAUUGCCACCCUUGCCCUCCAUGUUCCUAGCAGCACGAAGGUAGCUGAACUUGACCAUUCAAAGAACUUGGCAUCGGCUAAGUGGAAGCCUCUAUUUUCCUUAUUCUUUAUCCUUCCUAGGCUUUUCAUUACCCAGACUAGAGUGGGCUAGUAGAAUGAGUUGGCUAGAAAAACAACAAAGUGAGAA
Molecule: long non-coding RNA, 327 nt
Filed under: Sus scrofa (pig)
Lineage: Eukaryota; Metazoa; Chordata; Mammalia; Artiodactyla; Suidae
Description: lncRNA (ENSSSCG00005015271.1)
Source: RNAcentral